AAUCAAUUCAUGGUACCCAACAAAGCUUCAACCUCAAAGCUUCACCUACAAAGCUUCAACACCAAAGCUUAAUCUACAAAGCUUUAAAAUAUAUAUUUUUUUUUCUUUUCUAAAUUCGAAAAUUCAAAAAUUCGAAAAUUCGAAAAAAGAAUUGCCUAGGCCUCCUCUUCUUUGGGCCUAACAACUUUCAUAACAAAUACAUAUGAAGAAAGAUUUUUGGGCUACCACUUAGAAAGGAAAUGCCUCAUUCGUCAACUCCCUCGACCGGAGACUUGGGGAACUCCUACCAUAUGCUACUACAUCUUGAUACUCGGAAGUCUCACGACCACUCAGUGACUUGGAUUUUUCAAGUCUCCAAACGAAGAAGUUUUCCUCACUCAGGAAAUUAAGGGAGCACUACCUCAACCUACAUGCUUCACUCACAAAGCUUCAACAAACAAGCUUCAACAAAAGGAAAAAUUCAAAGCACUUAGUGAAGAAGGCCUUGGUGUAUUUAACACAAUACGUUGAAAUGAAGCAAAGCUUGUUUAUUGAUAUCUCCGAUAAGUUACAAAUAUGUACAUAUACAUGAAUCAAAAUAAACAAACAAGAGGGAGCCUUCACAAAGGUUGUUCAGAAGAAGUCUCAGCAGUCGGCAGAGCCCCAGAAAGAGGAGGCACCAGAGAGUGAUUAUUCGGAGCCUCAGUACUAGGCAGAACCCCAGAAUGAGGAGGCACCGAAGGUUGAUCAUUUGGAGCUUCAUUACGCGGUACAGCCCCAGAAGAUGAAGGCAAUAAAUACCUCUGGAACAAACCCACAAACCUCUGAUGAUCAAGUAAAAUCUGACCAUCAAAUUCCUGCAGCUAGUCGAGCUUCCUCUUCAUGUUUGUAGCAUAGUCAUGUGCGAGCCUGUGCAACUGUUUAUUCUCAUGCUUGACCCCUCUGAUCUCCUAUUUGAGACUUAUCACUUCAGUCGCCAAUGAUUCACCUCGGCGGGUUCGAGCAAAUAGGCGUUGGGCUAUAUUAGACACAGAACCUGCACACUGAACACUGAGAGCCAGAGAAUCCUUAACAUCCACCUCAUCAGACUGUUUGGAAAGUAGUCUGUUAUCUUUAGGAGUGAGAAGGUUCCAGGCCACCACUGCAGUGGUUAUAUCAUUCUUCAUCACAGAGUCCUCAACGGUAAGAGGACUAGUAGGGGAUAAGAAAGAUGGGCGCCAUAUGUUGUCUUGAGAAGGCAUGGUUGCCUCUUCACCAAAGUUCAAGUCAAAAAGACGAUCGGAUGGGCUAGACAUUCUCAUAAAUGAAGGAGAAAUGAGGUGCAAUAAAUCUCUGAAGUAAGGGGAAAAUUCCUACAAGCAAUAACUCUCUGAAUGUACUUCUUGCACAUGAUUAGUGCCCUUAUAAAAGAAAGGGCAACAUGGCCAUUGGUUCAAAAAUCGAAGAGGUACCACUCUUCGGAUUCCGAAGAGGCACCACUUUUCACACGCAACAUCAGCGCAUCGGGUACCACAGAUAACUUUACCAAAGAUCUCUGACAAAGUUUAGACACAUAAAUUUUGAAGGUCCAGCUACCCUACUAUUACCCACAAGGGUAAAGGAACAACAUCACUACUUGAUAACUAAAAAGUCCCAAUGUGUGUCAACCUCCGUGCCUCAUGGCAAGGCAGACUGGCAAAAAUGCCCAACCUUUACUCACAUUCGAGAAAACACUCCCAACAUGAUUGCUUUCUCAAAAAUCGAAGAGGCACCGCUCUCCGAAUCUCAAGAGCCAGACUCCCAACAUGAUUACGUGCUCAAAAAUCAAAGACGCACCGCCCUCCGAAUCUCAAGAGCCAGACUCCAAACAGGAUUACUUUCUCAAAAAUCGAAGAAACACUGCUAUUCAAAUCUCAAGAGUCAGACUCCCAACAUGAAUGAUUUCUCAAAAAUCGAAGAGGCACCGCUCUCCGAAUCUCGAGAGCCAAACUCCCAACAGGAUUACAUGCUAAAA
Molecule: long non-coding RNA, 1972 nt
Filed under: Malus domestica (apple)
Lineage: Eukaryota; Viridiplantae; Streptophyta; Magnoliopsida; Rosales; Rosaceae
Description: long non-coding RNA (MDOM_LNC021025)
Source: RNAcentral